Long non-coding RNA from Physeter macrocephalus (sperm whale), 766 nucleotides. RefSeq lists it as uncharacterized. The record is from RefSeq and is a predicted model, not a curated record. NCBI's taxonomy places the organism in Eukaryota, Metazoa, Chordata, Mammalia, Artiodactyla, Physeteridae. The transcript has 4 exons.
CUCUGUAAAGGAUGCAGCCAAGUCGUGCUGUGCCUGGGCCAGGCGGGGGUGGGCAGACACUCAAGUAUUUUGGUCCCAAAGGCUAUCUCUUGAGCUUCUGCUUGCUUCUUGACAACAAACAAGCCCUAGUUAAAUUCAUUAAUUAUGGGGGAUACGAAAGAGUGCUUCAUCCACCCAUCAGCAUCUGGACCCAGGAUCCCCACCCAGGAAAGAUGGGUGGGGAAAGUACCUAAGGUCACAUCGAAGGGGAUGAUCUGAAUCCUGUCCUGCAACCGAAGCCUGGAGAGAUAGGAAGGUAAAGAAAUCUGCACCCGUCAUCAGAAACCAACCUUCGAUGGAUGGAGAGAACGCAAGCACCAUGGUCCCUCCCCUGCACUAAUUCUUCCCACUCCCCACCACAGGCCACGUCCUCUCAAGUUCUUGAGACAAGGGUUCAAACUAGCCUUUACUGAACACCUGCUAGAUGCCACUCUUCAGAGACAGAGAGGAAAAUGAGACUCCGAGACGGGAAGCAACUUGCCCAAAGUCACCCAUCUAGGAACUCUCCCAGUCAAGACACAAGUCCUUCGGACUCCAGAGGCAGCUCUGUCUACCAGAGCGCCCAGGGAGGAGCCGAGGCCUUAAGUCAGGGGCGCAGCUUCCCUCUCAGUUUUGCACCGCGAGGUCGGCUCUCCCCAAGCCUGUUUCUCCAUCUGUACAACGGGGGCACAGACUUUUUAAGGAAGGCUGCCAGAGCUCUGACGAACUCGAGGUCUCGAGGGUGUUA